GCAAGUCUGGUGCCAGCAGCCGCGGUAAUUCCAGCUCCAAUAGCGUAUAUUAAAGUUGUUGCAGUUAAAAAGCUCGUAGUUGAAUUUCGGGAUCAAUAUUUCGGUCAUGCCGUUGGUAUGCACUGUUAUCAUUGAUUUCUCACCUUCUAAAGAACCAUAAUGCCAUUAAUUUGGUGUUACGGGGAAUUAGGACUGUUACCUUGAAAAAAUUAGAGUGUUUAAAGCAGGCUCACGCUUGAAUACAUUAGCAUGGAAUAAUGAAAUAGGACAUCCGAUUCUAUUUUGUUGGUUUCUAGGAUCGAUGUAAUGAUUAAUAGGGAUAGUUGGGGGCAUUAGUAUUCAAUUGUCAGAGGUGAAAUUCUUGGAUUUAUUGAAGACUAACUACUGCGAAAGCAUUUGCCAAGGAUGUUUUCAUUAAUCAAGAACGAAAGUUAGGGGAUCGAAGACGAUCAGAUACCGUCGUAGCCUUAACCAUAAACUAUGCCGACUAGGGAUCGGAUGAUGUUGAUUUUUUAAUGACUCAUUCGGCGCCUUACGGGAAAC
Molecule: ribosomal RNA, 543 nt
Filed under: uncultured Glomeromycotina
Lineage: Eukaryota; Fungi; Glomeromycota
Description: SSU rRNA
Rfam family: Eukaryotic small subunit ribosomal RNA
Source: RNAcentral